AGUUAUAUGCUUGUCUCAAAGAUUAAGCCAUGCAUGUCUAAGUACACACUCUCGAACAGUGAAACCGCAAAAGGCUCAGUAUAUCAGUUAUGAUUUAUUAGAUCGUAUACAUAGUUACAUGGAUAACUGUGGUAAUUCUAGAGCUAAUACAUGCACAUAAUCACGGACCGCAAGGAACGUGUGCUUUUAUUAGAUUAAAAUCAAUCGAUACAUUAAGGUAUAUUUAUAUACUGUAUCGUUAAUAAGAUGAAUCUGAAUAACAUGUAGAUCGCAUGGUCCAGUACCGGCGAUAGAUCUUUCAAAUGUCUGCCCUAUCAACUAUUGAUGGUAGUAUCUAGGACUACCAUGGUUGCAACGGGUAACGGGGAAUCAGGGUUCGAUUCCGGAGAGGGAGCCUGAGAAACGGCUACCACAUCUAAGGAAGGCAGCAGGCGCGUAAAUUACCCAAUCCCAGCACGGGGAGGUAGUGACGAAAAAUAACAAUACAGGACUCAAUCCGAGGCCCUGUAAUUGGAAUGAGUACACUUUAAAUCCUUUAACAAGGAACAAUUGGAGGGCAAGUCUGGUGCCAGCAGCCGCGGUAAUUCCAGCUCCAAUAGCGUAUAUUAAAGUUGUUGCGGUUAAAACGUUCGUAGUUGAACUUGUGUCAAGCACAGGUGGUACACCGUAACUGGGUUCGUACAUCAUCUUGAUGCUAUGACGUAUUACUGUAGUGGUUUAAACGUAAGUUUAUCCGCGUAAUAAAUCUAAAUUAGUGCUCUUUACCGAGUGCUGGUCUAGAACAGUACAAUUACUUUGAACAAAUUAGAGUGCUUAAAGCAGGCCAUUUGUGCCUAAAUAUUCUCUGCAUGGAAUAAUGGAAUAAGACGUCUGUUCUAUUUUCAAUUGGUUUUUAGAUCAAGACG
Molecule: ribosomal RNA, 905 nt
Filed under: Tipulidae sp. Tipu_H5
Lineage: Eukaryota; Metazoa; Arthropoda; Insecta; Diptera; Tipulidae
Description: SSU rRNA
Rfam family: Eukaryotic small subunit ribosomal RNA
Source: RNAcentral